AUGGUGUCCUGGAGCGACAGCGAGAGCACUGAGGGCUCCGCCGCGCAGUACAUCUCCUCCGAUGACUCCCCUGUCAAGAUCCCAGCUACAAUUGAUGAACCGUCGUUCGAGGGUCUUGUUGACGACUUGAAUGUGAUUUGUGAGCAUGGGAAUCCAAGGAGGAAAUAUGUUGCAUUUGAGGGGAUAAGCAUUGGGAGGGGGUUCAUUGCCUGUGCCACUGAAGGUGUUGCAAAUUGUGGAUUAGUGCAGUGGGUAGAUGAGCAUUGGCUACUGCAGAAUGCUAUUCAUAAGCUGUGGCUUAUGUAUGAGGAUAGCUAG
RNAcentral lists this ribosomal RNA (318 nucleotides) under Triticum aestivum (bread wheat). Its description in RNAcentral is "partial small subunit ribosomal RNA". Lineage: Eukaryota; Viridiplantae; Streptophyta; Magnoliopsida; Poales; Poaceae. The record is from RNAcentral.